UGGGGAAUUUUGGACAAUGGGCGAAAGCCUGAUCCAGCAAUGCCGCGUGUGUGAAGAAGGCCUUCGGGUUGUAAAGCACUUUUGUCCGGAAAGAAAUCCUUGGCUCUAAUACAGUCGGGGGAUGACGGUACCGGAAGAAUAAGCACCGGCUAACUACGUGCCAGCAGCCGCGGUAAUACGUAGGGUGCAAGCGUUAAUCGGAAUUACUGGGCGUAAAGCGUGCGCAGGCGGUUUGCUAAGACCGAUGUGAAAUCCCCGGGCUCAACCUGGGAACUGCAUUGGUGACUGGCAGGCUAGAGUAUGGCAGAGGGGGGUAGAAUUCCACGUGUAGCAGUGAAAUGCGUAGAGAUGUGGAGGAAUACCGAUGGCGAAGGCAGCCCCCUGGGCCAAUACUGACGCUCAUGCACGAAAGCGUGGGGAGCAAAACAGGAUUAGUACCCUGGUAGUCCCACGCCCUAAACCGAUGUCAACUAGUUGUUGGGGAUUCAUUCCUUAGUAACGUACUAACGCGUGAAGUUGACCGCCUGGGGAGUACGGUCGCAAGAUU
This 547-nucleotide ribosomal RNA is filed under the name uncultured bacterium. Its description in RNAcentral is "partial 16S ribosomal RNA". It matches the Rfam family "Bacterial small subunit ribosomal RNA", at positions 355 to 895 of the family's 1533-position model. The record is from RNAcentral.